Molecule: long non-coding RNA, 566 nt
Organism: Numida meleagris (helmeted guineafowl)
Lineage: Eukaryota; Metazoa; Chordata; Aves; Galliformes; Numididae
Exons: 3
Source: RefSeq, a predicted model, not a curated record
UGGUGGAGAAAGCACGUGGUCCUCCUGCAGUUUACUGUCUGGUUUCAACUCAACAUUUACCUAAUACAAAUGUGUCAUUGACAUUGAUAUAACCUACUACUCAGUGGAUGGAAGAAUUGAUGCAGGUCCUCAGAACCUCAGAAAACCAUUGUUGAAGCAGAAGUACUAAAUAUGAUACUUUUUUUCUACAUGUAACAAUAUUCUCAAUAUUCUCAGACAUCUCAUCAGCAGUACAACGUGCUUCAGUUAUUUGCAAGUGGACAAGGAAGACGGCAGGAAUGUGCAGUGAUUUUCUCAAGCUUGCAAUAGAUAUUAACUACUUAUGACAGCAUCCAGUAAUACACAUUGCUUCUACUUUUGUUAACUAUUUUAAAAACAGAAAUUUUUAAAGAACACCUUUGAUUUUAAGUAGCCUAUGAGAAUAAAUGUUCUGAUUCAGCAUGACAUUUACAUAACUUCUGAAAUUUAGGCACAUAUUUGAGAACUGUGCUGAAGCUAAGUGUCCUUUUAAUUUCAUUUCAUUUUAGCUGUAGUACUGUAAAAGAAGAACAAAGCAGCAAUAAAUU